GCUUACGGCCAUACCAGCCUGGGUACGCCCGAUCUCGUCUGAUCUCGGAAGCUAAGCAGGGUCGUGCCUGGUUAGUACUUGGAUGGGAGACCGCCUGGGAAUACCAGGUGCUGUAAGCA
Molecule: ribosomal RNA, 119 nt
Filed under: Salmo salar (Atlantic salmon)
Lineage: Eukaryota; Metazoa; Chordata; Actinopteri; Salmoniformes; Salmonidae
Source: RNAcentral